This 234-nucleotide long non-coding RNA is filed under the name Dromaius novaehollandiae (emu). RNAcentral's name for it is "lncRNA (ENSDNVG00000014696.1)". The record is from RNAcentral. Lineage: Eukaryota; Metazoa; Chordata; Aves; Casuariiformes; Dromaiidae.
CUGCAGAUCUGGCUCCGUCUCUGGCUGCAGCUCUGUUGACCGUGGUGGCAUCACGAGACUCCCCYGGAGCAGCUCUGAGCCGACACAGAGAAUCACUACAGGAGUUAAAUCGGAGUGAGCCGGACAAGCAGCAAGCCUGCCUAUGUAGGUGAGUUUCCAGCACACACCCGCUCCUUUUUGCAAGUUGUCCAAAACGUUAGCAGCAGUGACUGCUGACGCUGCUUCCCCUCCGUU